Molecule: long non-coding RNA, 1180 nt
Filed under: Marmota monax (woodchuck)
Lineage: Eukaryota; Metazoa; Chordata; Mammalia; Rodentia; Sciuridae
Source: RNAcentral
CAUAAACAGCUCAGGCAGGAUGUCCAUAUUAAACAUGAGACACCAAAGCUCCCUGCAAAGACCAGUUCAAGUGCCAGCAUGCACACCCGAGCCCUUCAUCUUUAAAAGAUUGCUUAAGAAAAUCUUGUGCUGUUUAUUUAAAACAUUAAAUUAGGGCAAAAGGGAGACUGUGGUCUUUCCAUUAAGGCGGUCAUGACUGAAGUGUGUUCCUGAGGAGAGCGAUGGAGUCGUCUCAUCUCACUUAUCGCAACGUGUUGUUUAUGAAAUGCUUUCCUCUUUUCAAGGCUUUUUCUGAUAUGUGAUCUCAUCUGGUCCUCUCAACAAUUCUGUGAGCAGAUAUACAAUAGUGGUUGGCCUCCUCCUACAGAGAGAUUGACAGCUGGCGUGAGUGAGCUAGAAUGCGCCAUGUGGCUUCUCUUCCUUUCCCUCUUGCUUGCUCAAAAGGGACAGGAAGAGUCCUGCUCCCACCUACUAGCUGCAUUGCCUUCAGCAAGUUACUUGCCCUCCCUAAGCCUCGGUUUCCUCAUUUGUAGAAUGGGGAAAUGACUGUACUCACCUCCAAGAUCUCCCUGAUGAUUAAAGUAACAAAGUCUAGGCUCAUCUAGAGCCUAGAGUAGUCAGCUCUUGGAAAAUGGUAUCUGUUCAUUUGCUGCCAUGGUGGAACAUGUAGUUCACAAAGUGAAGAGUGCCUGAAGAUGAGACUCAGAGGGGGAACUAUGCCAAUGCAUUUAAUUACCAACCUUUAAAAUAUGUGAUUUUAUUAACUCUACAAUGGAUCCAAAUGAGAAAAGCACAAGCGAAAAUUCCCUAUCCGUGAUCUGUCUUCAUCAAUAAUUGGGCCAUCUAUUUAAUGCUUUUUUUUCCAACAGGGAAAAAAAUGUAUACUUUUUAUCUCCUUACAUUAUGAAGACAAGUAUAUAAAGUGGUAGAGUUGAACAAGAAGCAGGUACUCAAAAAGGUGACCAUGGUGUGUUGACAUCCUGUCAGUCAUCUGGUAUCCAUAUCCCCUUUACUAGAAAGAUCAGUUAUUCCACAGCUCAUUCAUUCAAUGAAUGUGGUCCCAGAGGAUCAUCUACUAGCCUUAUCAGCUCUAAUUUUCCAUCUUAUCACUCAGCCAAUAAUUCAUUAUCUUGUAAGCCUCUCAUACUUUUGUCCACAUCCCUAUACCCAGUGAUAGGCU